AGUGGAGCUGGCCUCCACUCUGCUGGUUGCCUUCAGGGGACUGGGAAAUUUGCUGUACAGGAAACAAAGGAGGAAACUACUCAGUAAAGGACUAGAAAGACGACAUUUCCUCAAAACUGAGGUUAAGUCCAACUGUCACAAAAGUGACUGUUGGCCCUACUAAGCCUGCAGAAGACCGUGCUGAGGGGAGUGAGGGUGUUUCGGAUCUGCAGGAGGUGGUCUCCCUAAAGGAGAGGAUGGCGAAGUACCAGGCAGCUGUUUCCAGGGGUGACUGCCGCAGCUUCUCAGCUAAUCUGAUGGAAGAAUCAGAAAUGUGCACAGUGCCUGGUGGUUUGGCCAAGGUGAAGAAACAAUUUGAGAAGGACAAAAUUUCUUCUUCCUGUAAUACCUUUUCUCAGUACCAGUAUCAACACCAGAACAGAUCCGAGAAGGUAAUGCCACUGUGGGUGGUGAUUACAUCAUGUGUGCUUAAAUU
This 475-nucleotide long non-coding RNA is filed under the name Ictidomys tridecemlineatus (thirteen-lined ground squirrel). RNAcentral's name for it is "lncRNA (ENSSTOG00000033539.1)". Lineage: Eukaryota; Metazoa; Chordata; Mammalia; Rodentia; Sciuridae. The record is from RNAcentral.